GUGAAAAUAUCGGUGUCACGAUCGGCGUUUCUGCCAAUUACCGAUAAUACCUACUUAUGUAAUUAUUGAUCAUAGGAUUUUAACCAGAAUUUUAGAGUGGAUAUCGCCGCUUUUCGUUAUUAAUUGCAAGGAACUUGGCCCAGAAAUGUUCUUGACAUUUGAGCAGAAAGAAUAGGAAGAUCGGGCUGGAGGUGCACCUGACUUGGACAUUAGCCAAGCAGCCUAUGUGUCACCUGCAGUAUGCUGAGUUGGCGUCGCAGCACACAGCGGGAGGAAUCUCUCCUUUUUCUCAUGAUCGCAGGAAUGAAUCUGGUCACCAAAGUCACCAGCAGAAACAAGCCAGCUAAUUGAGCAAGAUGUACUCUCAUA
Long non-coding RNA from Frankliniella occidentalis (western flower thrips), 369 nucleotides. RefSeq lists it as uncharacterized. The transcript is spliced from 4 exons. The record is from RefSeq and is a predicted model, not a curated record. NCBI's taxonomy places the organism in Eukaryota, Metazoa, Arthropoda, Insecta, Thysanoptera, Thripidae.